CCUACGGGAGGCAGCAGUGGGGAAUUUUGGACAAUGGGCGCAAGCCUGAUCCAGCAAUGCCGCGUGCAGGAUGAAGGCCUUCGGGUUGUAAACUGCUUUUGUACGGAACGAAAAGUCUUGGGUUAAUACCCUGGGAUCAUGACGGUACCGUAAGAAUAAGCACCGGCUAACUACGUGCCAGCAGCCGCGGUAAUACGUAGGGUGCAAGCGUUAAUCGGAAUUACUGGGCGUAAAGCGUGCGCAGGCGGUUUUGUAAGACAGUGGUGAAAUCCCCAGGCUCAACCUGGGAACUGCCAUUGUGACUGCAAGGCUGGAGUGCGGCAGAGGGGGAUGGAAUUCCGCGUGUAGCAGUGAAAUGCGUAGAUAUGCGGAGGAACACCGAUGGCGAAGGCAAUCCCCUGGGCCUGCACUGACGCUCAUGCACGAAAGCGUGGGGAGCAAACAGGAUUAGAUACCCUGGUAGUCCACGCCCUAAACGAUGUCAACUGGUUGUUGGGAAUUUAUUUUCUCAGUAACGAAGCUAACGCGUGAAGUUGACCGCCUGGGGAGUACGGCCGCAAGGUUAAAACUCAAAGGAAUUGACGG
RNAcentral lists this ribosomal RNA (585 nucleotides) under uncultured bacterium. Its description in RNAcentral is "bacterial SSU rRNA". It matches the Rfam family "Bacterial small subunit ribosomal RNA", at positions 338 to 916 of the family's 1533-position model. The record is from RNAcentral.